CUUUGUCCAGAGGUUGAGAGGAGACGAGGCCCAUACCCUCUACUUGCUCCCAGUCUAAUGGCAGAGAAAGAACAGAUAUAAAGAAAAUAUGGGAUCGAAAGGUUGAAUACCACAUCAGAUACGAAGAAUGUAAGCCAGGCGCUUAUUUUCAGGGCCUGGACUGCCUAGCUUGGAAGUGGACAAGGUUAACCGGGAGCCUUCUCAGAGUCUGUCUUACGUGGCCUUCAAGGAGCCGCUGGAAAUUACUUGGCUGAAACGAGCAGCUGUAAAGUCUGUCUUACAUGAAAGCCUGCCAAGACACGGACUUCUUCUAAGGAAAACUGCCCUGCCUCCAGCCCCUGUAAGCUUGUGGUUCAGUCUCCCUGGAUACAGCUGCCUUGAGGCAAAGGUGACCCAGUGGCAGCCAAUUCACAGACGGGCCAGCCCAGGCUAACAAGGUGAACUGAGAUACUCAUUUAAGGUCGCUUUUAGGAAUCCAAGCUAGUGACUAUUGGAAAAAUGAAGGGGUUAACCAUACAAGUUAAGGUGGAAAGAUUAGGAUAUACCAAGAAGGGAAUGGCCAUGAAGGUCAUGUGCAAACUGAGAUUACAAGGGAGCAGAAACUGGGAGUGAACAACGGCUAUAAGGGGGAGAGAAAGAGAGAGAGAUGAUGAUGAUGAUGAUGAUGGCGACGAUGGAGAGACACAGAAACAGAGUAGAAACAGAAUGUGGCUUAAUCCCAAUGGCUUUCUGGUUUCAGAACCACCAUGAGCC
RNAcentral lists this long non-coding RNA (753 nucleotides) under Mustela putorius furo (domestic ferret). RNAcentral's name for it is "lncRNA (ENSMPUG00000031465.1)". The record is from RNAcentral. Lineage: Eukaryota; Metazoa; Chordata; Mammalia; Carnivora; Mustelidae.